GAUGAACGCUGGCGGCGUGCUUAACACAUGCAAGUCGAACGGAAAGGCCAGUGCUUGCACUGGUACUCGAGUGGCGAACGGGUGAGUAACACGUGGGUGAUCUGCCAUGCACUUCGGGAUAAGCUUGGGAAACUGGUUGAAUUCCGGACAGGACCACUUCGGUGUUGGUUGGGUGGGAAGUGUUUUUGGUGUGGGAUGAGCGCGCGGCCUAUCAGCGUGGUGGUGGGGUAAUGGCCUGCCAAGGUGUCGACCGGUAGCCGGCCUGAGAGGGGGUACGGCCACAUUGGGACUGAGAUACGGCCCCGACUCCUACGGGAGGCAGCAGUGGGGAAUAUUGCACAAUGGGCGGAAGCCUGAUGCAGCGACGACGCGUGGGGGAUGACGGCCUUCGGGGUGUAAACUCCUUUCGCCAAAGACGAAUUUUGACGGUAUUUGGAGGAGAAGCACCGGCUAACUACGUG
RNAcentral lists this ribosomal RNA (461 nucleotides) under uncultured bacterium. RNAcentral's name for it is "partial 16S ribosomal RNA". It matches the Rfam family "Bacterial small subunit ribosomal RNA", at positions 28 to 507 of the family's 1533-position model. The record is from RNAcentral.